RNAcentral lists this transfer RNA (76 nucleotides) under Caulobacter sp. RNAcentral describes it as "tRNA-Thr". It matches the Rfam family "tRNA". Rfam says of the family: Transfer RNA (tRNA) molecules are approximately 80 nucleotides in length. Their secondary structure includes four short double-helical elements and three loops (D, anti-codon, and T loops). RNAcentral also lists the same sequence under 193 other names. Lineage: Bacteria; Pseudomonadati; Pseudomonadota; Alphaproteobacteria; Caulobacterales; Caulobacteraceae. The record is from RNAcentral.
GCCGGUUUAGCUCAGCUGGUAGAGCAGCGGUUUUGUAAACCGAAGGUCGCGGGUUCGAUUCCUGCAACCGGCACCA